RNAcentral lists this ribosomal RNA (102 nucleotides) under uncultured bacterium. RNAcentral describes it as "partial 16S ribosomal RNA". The record is from RNAcentral.
UACACACCGCCCGUCACACCAUGGGAGGUGGGUUGCAACCAGAAGUAGCUAGUCUAACCUUCGGGGAGGACGGUUACCACGGUGUGAUUCAUGACUGGGGUG